This 409-nucleotide ribosomal RNA is filed under the name uncultured bacterium. RNAcentral describes it as "bacterial SSU rRNA". It matches the Rfam family "Bacterial small subunit ribosomal RNA", at positions 509 to 916 of the family's 1533-position model. The record is from RNAcentral.
CAGCAGCCGCGGUAAUACGGAGGGUGCAAGCGUUGUUCGGAAUUAUUGGGCGUAAAGCGCGUGUAGGCGGUUGGGUAAGUCAGAUGUGAAAGCCUUCUGCUUAACAGAAGAAGUGCAUUUGAAACUGCUCGGCUGGAGUACGGGAGAGGAGAGUGGAAUUCCCGGUGUAGAGGUGAAAUUCGUAGAUAUCGGGAGGAACACCAGUGGCGAAGGCGGCUCUCUGGUCCGAUACUGACGCUGAGACGCGAAAGCGUGGGGAGCAAACAGGAUUAGAUACCCUGGUAGUCCACGCCGUAAACGAUGGGCACUAGGUGUAGGAGGUAUUGACCCCUUCUGUGCCGAAGCUAACGCAUUAAGUGCCCCGCCUGGGGAGUACGGCCGCAAGGCUAAAACUCAAAGGAAUUGACGG